UACGUAGGGGGCAAGCGUUGUCCGGAAUCAUUGGGCGUAAAGCGCGUGUAGGCGGCCAGGUAAGUCCGUUCUGAAAGCCCGGGGCUCAACCCCGGGAGGCGGAUGGAUACUGCUUGGCUCGAGUCCGGAAGAGGCGAGUGGAAUUCCCGGUGUAGCGGUGAAAUGCGUAGAUAUCUGGAGGAACACCGGUGGCGAAGGCGGCAUCCUGGACCAACACUGACGCUGAGGAGCGAAAGCCAGGGGAGCAAACGGG
Molecule: ribosomal RNA, 253 nt
Filed under: uncultured bacterium
Lineage: Bacteria
Description: partial 16S ribosomal RNA
Rfam family: Bacterial small subunit ribosomal RNA
Source: RNAcentral